Molecule: ribosomal RNA, 253 nt
Filed under: uncultured bacterium
Lineage: Bacteria
Description: partial 16S ribosomal RNA
Rfam family: Bacterial small subunit ribosomal RNA
Source: RNAcentral
UACGUAGGGUGCGAGCGUUGUCCGGAAUUAUUGGGCGUAAAGGGUGUGUAGGCGGUUGUUUAAGUUUGGUGUGAAAUCUCCCGGCUCAACCGGGAGGGUGCGCCGAAUACUGAAUGACUAGAGUGCGGGAGAGGAAAGUGGAAUUCCUGGUGUAGCGGUGAAAUGCGUAGAUAUCAGGAGGAACACCCGUGGCGAAGGCGGCUCUCUGGGACGGUACUGACGCUGAGACGCGAAAGCGUGGGGAGCGAACAGG